UCCGUUCUCGCAGCUACCUGUCGACUUCCGGUUGUCAUUGGUUCUGUUGGUGAAAAAUGUAUAAAUAAAACGGGUCAAAUUUUCUGUCAAACUGGCUGUCAGCGAACUUGAUAUUCAACAUACGUACGUACUAUAUAUAAAUUAGCCAGUGAACCAUUCGGAAGAUCUCGUAAUGAUUGGAAACAACGGGAAAAUAGCAGCCAAAAUAAAGCUGUUGUACCCUUAGCCUCUGUGGUACAGUGCUACAUAUAAGAAGGGUACAUUCGGAGCUUCGAGGAAAACGGGUGGACAAGCGACGGCGGUGGUCUGCUUUAUUAUUGCAUUACAUUUGGCUGUAACAACAAGCGGGAGAAUGAAUAAUGAUAAUAAUAAUGAUAAUAAUAAUGAUAUAACAAGGCACAGGACGAGAGACUCUGCGUAAACAACGACCCAGUGAAGGAGAAAUCCAGCUUCGAAAGAGCUAAUUACAAAGAAGAAGAAGAGAAAUGUGUGAUAAUUAAUUCAUCAUCUGUAGUUAAACGAAGAGAAAGUAAUCACAGCAACAUCAACAGUAACAAUAAUUUGACUGAGUGAACAUAUAUUCCUAUGUGCAUUCAUUGCAUCCAGUUUUUUGGAUAAAAAUAUAUGGGAUCGCGAGAAAUUAUGGCAAGCAAACAUUGUCUUAUGCCGAACCUAAACACUUUAAUUAGUGUUUACAUAAUGGGAAAGUAAAAACAAUUAAUCGACGGAGAAGUUAUUUUUUGUCAAACCAGUUUUGAUUUUAGAUGCUGGUUGCAGUUUGUGUUUACCAUGUCUGAGGAUAAAGAAAAAUACUUGAGUCCAGAAUGGUGUAUGGUGGACGAUCAAGGCCAAAGAUACAUGUUGCCAAAGACAAUGAUAUUUAUGGGUCAUGAAGAAUGUGAUUUUAUAAUAGAGGGUAGCAGUGUAGAUAAGCGGCAUGCUGUGGUAACUUUCGAUCACUAUCUCAACAAAUUUAAGAUAAAGGAUUUAAGUACCAUUCAUGGGACUUUCAUAAAUGAUGUACGAAUUCCCGAACAAGAAUAUAUAACAUUGGAAGAAAAAUAUACAAUACGCCUUGGAUUUUCUCAGUCAGUAUAUUAUAUAGAACAGGUAUUUGAUACUCCAUAUAAUGUUGAAGAGGAAAACGGUUCCCCUGAUAAAAUAACUACAUGGCCUUCAAAUUCUCAUGAAACAAUGGAUGAAGUUGAUCUUGCCUAUUAUGGAAUGUCAUUUAAUCCAUAUAGUUAUAAUCCGGAAACUGUAAAUCAAGAGGCACCGAAUCAUGAAGAAUUUGAAGAGCAGCAAAGGAGCAAUGGAAAUCUUCAGCAGAAUUACGAGAGCAGCUAUAAUGGAUACAUAUCAAACGAUCCCAAUCAUACGUGGCCUAGAAAGAGGCGUCCAAAAAGCUGGACAUCUCAGUCAAAUUAUAGUUCUCAGCUUGCUGAGGAGAAGAAAAGAUCUUCUUACCAUGUAGAGUCCACUGUUGAUGCUGAGCAGGACUAUCUCAACAGUAUUCCACCGUCCAUAAUGAAGCCUUCACAUUCUACUCUUGGAAAUUUACAAAGCCAAAAUAAUAAUCUUUCAUACACAAAAAGUGACUUUGUUUCUAUGGAGGGUGUACCAUCAGCUCCUGAAAAGACACAACCACCAGUGAGUCACAAUAACCAGAUUUCAGUGAAAUCUCCUUCAUACUCCGAGGCUGGUGGAGCAAAUGAAAAUAAUACCUACCGAACUAGAAAUGAUAUAACUAGAAUUAAAAAGGUUACACCUCUUUAUGGUCAACCUUCCUGGUGGGGAGAACCAGACAUAGUUGAGAAUGACCCAGUGGAUUCUUCAAACAGCUCUCAAAACCAAAAGAAGAAAUGCAAUGAUAGUGAAACAUCUGACAAACCCACAAAACCUGGAAAUUUAGCAGUGUACAAUCUUCAAACUGAUACAUCACAUAAUCUAGAAAAAUAUAAAAACGACCCAAAAUACGCCUGUACAUAUAUGGAGAUUUCUCACAGAGAUUUUGAACUGGAAAACAAUAGCGCUUGUCGUGGAAGCCUUUCGUCGUCUAUAUCCAAAGAUAGUCUAGUGUCCCAUGAUAGUCGAAAGGGAUCGCUUGAAAUUUCAAGUGACCAUGGUAAGAAACAAUCUUCAUCGGAAAGAGAGUUAUCAGUGGAGAAAACAGAACCAGUCAAUAAAGUUGCGGAUGCCGGUGGAACAGCUUUUACCGUUGAAAUUGGUGAACAAAAACCGAGGAAAUGGAAUAGUUUAAGUGAAUUUAUGCCAUCCAAAAUUCGGCGGAGUUUCCGAGAACGAUCUGAACGGGCAAUGAAACAGUCUACUAAAGAUGGUACAGCACCAAAAUUUGUGGAAGCUGAUUCUCCCCCUGAACAAGCAAAAGAUGGAGAAAUUUUGGGUGAAAAGGGGAAAGCAAAAACACCUAAAGCUAGUCAAUCCAGUGAAGGCGAAGAAGAAAAUCAUUCAAAAGAAAGAAAGGUGAUGGAAAACAACAAAAUUUCUCCGUCAUCUUUUCAAACCUAUAAGCCUGCGAGUCAUCAGAAUGACAAUGAAGAGAUUUCGCCACCAACAUGUUCUGGUGCUGCAUCAUUCCUUAUCAACAAGAUGUUUCAAGGCAGUAAUUGCCCAGCCAACGUCAAUCCUGCAUCGACAUCUCCUCCUUCUGAUUAUUGCCUCAUUCCUGGUAGCGGAGCUCCUGCGUCAACUGGGAAAUUCUUUGACCCGUCAACAGAACAAGAUCGCUACUAUGAUCAGAAAAAUUUGAACGGAAACAAAUACUGUGAGACGACAGAUAAAACUUGUACAGACAGUUCUCCCGAAGCUCAAGAUCUCGAAGCAAUAGAAGACAAACUCAGCGAAGCCGGAACCUACACUAUUGAAGGUGACCAAGAAGCUAAAGAGGAAGAAGAAUUGGCCAGGAAAAGAAUUGACAAUGUGUUUGGUGUUGGCCAAAAUAUACAAAGACCUAUAAUAGUUGAAUUAAAAAACUUAGAACAGGACUCUUCUACAUUAGGAAAAGAAUCUAGUGAAAUGAAUCAUGUUGGAAAAUUUUUAGAAGAUUCAAAGUUUUAUUUAAAUAACGGUAGUAAUAAUAAUUGUUCUCCAGAAGCAGAUGUAGAUCAAAUGGAAGAUAUAGAAAAUUUAAAAGAUAUCUCGCCUGAAUCAAAUACAUGUGAUAUAAUUCCACAAAACUCAGAGAAGACAUUGGCAGAAUCUGAAUUUAAACCACAAUCUGAGUCAAGUGGAUCAUCUCCAUUGGUAUCCAAGCCUCCUUUGGGAUGUCCAAGAAAACGAGCGGGUACAGGAAGAAAACUGCCUUCAUUACCCGCUGAAUCUGGAGUGCCUCCAAGCAGCAAACCUCAAAAGCAAACUACUCCUCAAAAGAAAGAGGAAAAAUGGACCUCCUCUGAUGUUGGCAAGAAAAAAAAAUCGUUUUUAACUUCGAAUCAGAGCAAUGGUGGUAAUCGAACAAGAAGUAAAGUUGACACAGACCAUGAUACAGAUAGAUUGUUAAAAGAUACAGAAACUGCCAUGGCUGCUCUGGAAGCUAGAGUGACGAAUCCUAGCAUAUCACAAGGCACUGAUGGGUCCGAGUCAGAUGUUUCUUCAAAUACAAACUAUAAUUUUAGCAAAAACAGUGCACUUCGCUCUAGCAAUCGGAGCCUUUCUGAUCAGCCUAGUAGUCGUAAAUCUUCAUUCUCUGAUAAUGCAAAACCAAAAGCUUCAUCCAAAAAUGUAAUCAAUUCCAAAGAGAGGAACCCUCCAAUUCAAAGAAAUUAUUCUAAGGGAAGUGAGAAAGGGUCAAUAAGUUCAGAUAUUACAAGUGAAUCUGAAGCCCUUGAAACUAUGAGCAAUAAUUCUGACUUUAGUUUGGAAUGUGGUAGUGAAGGAGAUGGUUAUAACCGCCGUGGCUCCAAAGGUAAAGGUGGCAUUUCUAUGACCAGACCAAACAGAGCAUUCCAACUUAGACAAGCAAAAGCUCGUGGUGCUGAGGUAGUGGAUAAACCCCCACCUCAUUCUGGGAGUGGUAGGGGAACAUCAUUAAGUAGUACAGUUUCUAAAGCUAGUAUGGUUAAAGGUAAGGUUAAAAGAGUCAAUUCUGUAAAUUUGCCUGCGGAAAGAUUAUCAGAAACUCAACGGAGUACUGGUCUUAGCACAGAAUCCAUCCACAAAAGUUAUGAAAACAUUAAAGGGAGUUCAAAUUUCAUGAGAACUGAUGGUGGACGGUACAGUCUUAGAGUCAGACGGUCUGCUUCUACUUCUACUCCAAGAAACUCCAAUGAAUCAUCGCGUAUAAGAUCAGAUUUAAAAUCAACCAAAUCACAGCUGAAAGCUGCACAUAGCACACCCGGACUGAAUAUUGUCAGCCUUUCUAGUAAAAGUAAUUCACAGCCGACUAGUCGUUCAAAUUCUCCAAGAUCUGUUGAUAAAAAUAAUCUGAAGCGACGUAAGGAAUUUAACCAACGACAGCAGAAAUCUUCAACGGGCAAUUUGAGUUCAGGAUCUUCUACCGACACGAAAAACACAAAAACUCAAGGGUCAGCAUCUAAAGCUGAAUGUUCUGAAGUGUCGAUAAAUAGUCGAAUGAUUCGGUCUGCAUCUUUGGAGUUGUCGAAAUACAAGAACUCUGUAGAUGCAGUCUCUUCACAAAAAAGUUCAUCAAGAUCGUAUCGAGAUGUAUCCAAUAUUGGUGAAGAUCGUAUCAAAAGUGGUUUUGUACCUUACAGUGGACUAGGAACAUUCCAAAGUUGCCUUCGCCAUCCAGAGGAAUUUGAUUAUGGUAAUGAAGAGAGGUUACUACUUCCGAAAUCUAUGCAGGACAUCAAUAAGAGCUCUUUAACAACUUAUUCCUACCAAUCUGCUUUUGCUCCUGCAUCUAAGCGAAAACCAUACACAUCAAAUCUCCAGUCUUCUUUUUCCACUCUGCAGUCAUCUUGUAGGAAUUCUUCUUUGCUAAAGAAGGAUGAUGUUCUUGCGAAAAAGAGAGAAUUGUUCAACAGCAGGCAGGAAACUCUACCGUUGGUCAUUGCACUCUCACCAGUGCAUUUAUAUAAACUCUUAGGUUCACAGCUUUCCACGGAUAUGAGCCUGAAUGAAAGGUCAUAUGACAAUAUUAUUAUUUCCUCUAUUUAUCAACUGUCGUUGAAACUGAAAACUGCUACAGAUAGGACUAUUCAAAAAUUGAGAGAAAGUAAUAAAGUCAGUCAGACACCAUCUCCCGUGGAUGAUUAUUUAACUGAUCCAUCGUCUAGUGAAAUGCCAGCUUGGAAAAGUGCUAACCAAGAACUUGCAGCGAUUCUUUGUAUAUUAAGGAAAAUAGAACAUCGGAUUCAUGUUAUUGACCGGGUGCUCUUCCCAGACAAAGAUAAUGGAAUUGAUUCUGAUGGCCUUACCCAACGUGAAAAACAGCUUUAUCUGCAGGAAAUAGAAAGGAUACGAACAGAGAUUGCAGGCUUCCAACCAAUCGACAAUCCAGAAGAUAAAAUGUGGAAAAAAAAGCAAAGGCACCCGCAAGGAAACAGUUCAACAUGCCAUGCUAUUGGCUUAACAGAAGAAGAGCUAUUCUAGAGAGACUUUCUCUUAGUUAAGAUACCCAGGCUAUAUAUAUAUAUAUAUAUAUAUAUAUAUAUGUAUGUAUGGUGUGUGCAUGUAAAAUUUAAUGUUUCAGAUUUGUGAUCCGUUCAUUUUUACAUUCACUGCCUUUAAUUUGCAUUAACGUCAUCAAUUAAUGUAUUUCUGUUAAUAAUUUAUUUAAAA
This 5763-nucleotide unclassified non-coding RNA is filed under the name Octopus sinensis (East Asian common octopus). RNAcentral describes it as "centrosomal protein of 170 kDa protein B, transcript variant X3". The record is from RNAcentral. Lineage: Eukaryota; Metazoa; Mollusca; Cephalopoda; Octopoda; Octopodidae.